Podarcis lilfordi (Lilford's wall lizard) is the source of this 577-nucleotide non-coding RNA. NCBI's taxonomy places the organism in Eukaryota, Metazoa, Chordata, Lepidosauria, Squamata, Lacertidae. The record is from the annotation of a GenBank genome assembly.
CACUCCGGCAGGAAGGUAAAUGGUGUUUCCGUGUGCUGCUCUGGUUUCAGUGUUCCGUUGUGCCAGAAGCGGCUUAGUCAUGCUGGCCACAUGACCCGGAAAAACUGUCUGCAGACAAACGCUGGUUCCCUUGGCCUGUAAAGUUAGAUGAGCGCUGCAACCCCAGAGUCGUCUGCAACUGGACUUAACUGUCAAGGGUCCUUUACCUUUACCUUGAGCCUUAAGUAAGCCAAUCUAUCCCAGCCUCAACGCCUCGUUUGCAGUAUGAGAAUUUUAUUUAUUUAUUUAUUUAUUUAUUUAUUUAUUGUUAUUAUUAUAUUUUUAUUUUGCUAAAUAUACAUAAUUCCUAGAUGAUUUACAUGAGAUGUUAAAACCAAUACCGUUACUCAUUUCCCUUCCAGCAGGAGCAAGCCAGCAGGAAAUCACACCGAGCAACUUGGAGUCAACUCUUUAUUAGCAAAAACAGGAUCUGCACAGGAGUGUCAGGCCUAAUGAGCACAGCAACUCAUCUCCGGUAGGUCUGGCCCCCUUGCUGAGAUUGAAGGUCCCUGCCUCCCCACAGCUGCCUAAGUCCCCU